CAACGCCGCGUGAGGGAUGACGGCCUUCGGGUUGUAAACCUCUUUUAGUUAAGGAAGAAGAACUUCGGUUUGACGGUACUUGCAGAAAAAAGACACCGGCUAACUACGUGC
RNAcentral lists this ribosomal RNA (111 nucleotides) under uncultured bacterium. RNAcentral describes it as "partial 16S ribosomal RNA". It matches the Rfam family "Bacterial small subunit ribosomal RNA", at positions 392 to 508 of the family's 1533-position model. The record is from RNAcentral.